Non-coding RNA from Podarcis lilfordi (Lilford's wall lizard), 72 nucleotides. Lineage: Eukaryota; Metazoa; Chordata; Lepidosauria; Squamata; Lacertidae. The record is from the annotation of a GenBank genome assembly.
AGGGCUAUAGUUCAAUAGUAGAACAUCUGCUUUGCAGGCAGAAGGUCCUAGGUUCAAUCCCCAGUAUCUCAA